RNAcentral lists this non-coding RNA (24 nucleotides) under Arabidopsis thaliana (thale cress). Lineage: Eukaryota; Viridiplantae; Streptophyta; Magnoliopsida; Brassicales; Brassicaceae. The record is from RNAcentral.
AACAUAGAAAAUAAGCCCAAGCAU